GACGUAGGGCGCGAGCGUUGUCCGGAUUUAUUGGGCGUAAAGAGCUCGUAGGCGGCUUGUCACGUCGGGUGUGAAAGCCCGGGGCUUAACCCCGGGUCUGCAUUCGAUACGGGCAGGCUAGAGUGUGGUAGGGGAGAUCGGAAUUCCUGGUGUAGCGGUGAAAUGCGCAGAUAUCGGGAGGAACACCAGUAGCGAAGGCGGCACUCUGGGCCGGUACUGACGCUGAGGAGCGAAAGCGUGGGGAGCGAACAGG
Molecule: ribosomal RNA, 253 nt
Filed under: uncultured bacterium
Lineage: Bacteria
Description: partial 16S ribosomal RNA
Rfam family: Bacterial small subunit ribosomal RNA
Source: RNAcentral